AGCGAGCUGAUGCUUUUGCUGGCUAAUAAUAUUGUGCUCAGGGUGGUUUUUAGUAUGAAGGGCAAUGGUUAUGGUGAAGAGAACGCGAAGAGUGAGUUUGAUGAAAUACUUCAUGAAACGCAACAUUUGUUAGGCAUGGUGAAUAUAGCAGACUAUUUUCCCUGGAUGGGUUGGCUUAACAAGUUUAACGGUGUUGAAGCAAGAUUAAACAAGAAUUUUAGAGAUCUGGACAGGUUUUAUGACAGGGCAAUCCAGGAGCACCGUGAAUGCCCACACAGGCCCGGACCUGAAGAGCAUGAAGAUCUUGUUGAUGUAUUGCUCCGAAUUCAGGCUGAUCCAAAUCAAGAUAUUGGACUCACUGAUGACCAGAUGAAAGCUAUAUUGACGGUAAUUUUCCUUGCUCAUCUGAAUCAGUUUUUAAAUAUUUGUAAAUGAAAUGAACGGUGAAUGAUCCUGAAAUGACUCAUACUAUCUCUGCCUUUAAAUCAAGUUUGUAGCUUCUUAAAUUUUUUUAGAACUUCAGGGAAUUCCAACAUCUCUUAAAACUUUUCAUGUUUUCUUCAAACAACAAAUUAAGUUUUAAAGUGUUUAUAAAUGAUUUACGGUUGGACUUUACAAUACAGGACAUGUUUGUAGCUGGAACAGACACUUCUUCAGCAACAUUAGUAUGGAUAAUGACACAACUCAUCAAAAAUCCAUCAGUAAUGAGUAAAGCACAAGAAGAAGUAAGGCGUGUAGUCCAGGGAAAAGGGACGGUAGAAGAAAGCGAUCUUCCAAAACUUGACUACUUAAAGAUGAUUAUAAAAGAGACAUUUAGACUUCACUUGCCAGUCCCAUUACUAAUCCCACGAGAAACUACAGAAACACGCACUGUUGGAGGCUAUGAAAUUCCAGCCAAAACAAGGGUGUUUAUUAAUGCUACUGCAAUAUCUAUGGAUCUCCAAGUGUGGGAAGACCCGGAAGAGUUUAAACCAGAGAGAUUCUUGAAUAGUUCCAUUGAUUUCAGAGGCCAACACUUUGAGUUAUUACCAUUUGGGGCAGGCCGGAGGGGUUGUCCAGGAACCAAUUUCGGGGUGCUAAUAAUAGAGCUUGCGCUUGCUAAUCUGUUGUUUAGCUUUAACUGGAGACUGCCUGAUGGAAUGAAGGCUGAAGAUAUUGAUAUGGAAGAGGCUAUCGGCAUUACUGUCCAUAAGAAGACUCCUCUUUGCCUUGUUGCUUCGCCGUAUGUGUAUAUAGUUAAUUAGUUCUUACACCGAGAGGAGAGGCUUAGCAUUUGAUGCUGCUGUCAAAUUAUGAUUGCAUGAUCUACUAGCCACCCAAGGUUAAAAUCGAGAAGAUGUUCUCUAAUGUCAACUAAGAUGGCUACCCGGCUUAGCCAUUUAGCUAACGGUGUAAUCGCAUCAAACUGAAUCAAACACCAUCACGCUCAAACCUAAUCUCAAAAUAUAAAAACAAACAAAUCAUAAUUUUUAGCCUCAAAAUGUGGCUCGAUAUGUCCAGACUCCGGCUUACAACACGUGACACCAUAUUGCUAUUAUAAACAAGCAAUACAAGCAAGAAACAUGUUGGCAGUAGUAAUUAGAAGUUUUGUCUAAGUUGUAUAUAUUUCAGCACUCCGAAACUAUGAGAUUUUGUUUCAUUAUUUUGUGUCUAACAUAUGAGAUAGACACUCAUUCUAGUCCUAUAAAUAUAGUUCCAAUCAUCUGGGAGAAAAGGGGCACCUUAUUGAGAAUAUUUACCUCCUUUAUAGAGAGGGAAAGAAAGUUACUUGUAUGAUAUUAUUCAUAAUCUUUUGUACUCAUUAUCAAUAAAAUUAUUCAUCAAUCACUUCGAUGUCUUUCAAGAAGACAUGGCCCUCUCAUGUUUCUACAGCUCGGCUCUAUUCCAAUUCUUGUAGUCUCAUUAGCAGCAAAAGCCAAAGAAAUUUUCAAGACGAGUGACCUGGUUUUCUCUAGCCGCCCGGCUAUGUUUGCUGCAAAUAAGUUAGGCCACAAGGGCUCAACUAUAACUUUUGCUCCCUAUGGAGAGUACUGGAGGAAAAUUAAGAAAUAGCACUUGUAGAGCUUUUGAGUGCAAAGAGAGUUCAAUCUUUUGAAGCUGUCCGGGAACAAGAAGUUGCUCUUAUGAUUAAAGCCGUCGCAGAAUCUUCUAAUCAGGUUAAUCUGAGUCCUGAUGCUUUUGCUAGCUACUAAUGUUAUUCUUAGAGUUGUAUUUAGUAUGAAGGGGAAUAGUUAUGGCAAAGAGAAAGUGAAGAGUGAGUCUGGGGAAAUUCUUCAUGAAACACAGGAUCUAUUAGGUAUGGUAAAUAUUGCCGAUUAUCUUCCAUGGAUGGGUUGGUAUAACAAGCUGAACAGUAUUGAGGCAAGAGGAGAAAAGAAUUCCAGGUGCUCUUAGACAUAAAAAAGAACAUGUAAAUAAAUGAUUGAAACGGAAAUGAUAUAAAAUAAAAUUACUCUGAACGUCAAGGCACUAGAAAUCUUAACCCUCUAUUCAAAAUCUAUCCAAGCGGGUUCAAAGAGUGCCCAAUUGUGUGUAAAUGUGUAAGAAUCUAGUUUGUUUCUGUUAUUACAGAAAACAUAAACGUUGCACAAUAUAGUAAUCCAAAAAUUGCGAUCAAAUGGGCUGGUUGUGUAGUAAACUUAUACUCCCUCCGUCCCGGUCAAUAGCAUACAUUGGGGGACGGGGGCGCGGCACGGACUUUAAUGUUUCAAUAUAAUAUAGUUCUGUAAAUUAUUUUUAAGAUUUUCUUUUUUUGUAUAAAAGUAUAACAUUUAUACUUUUAUACAAAAAAAGAAAAUUUCAAAAAUAAGUUGUAGAACUAUGUUUUAUAAGAGCCUUAAAAAACGUGUCGAGCAGUGAAAAAGAAACGUAUACAAUUAACUGGGACAGAGGGAGUAAACCUACCAAGUUGCAAUAGCUCGGUCGUCCGUGUUGCAUCACCAGAUUGUAGGCAGAUUGCCGAUGUGACUGUAAGUGGCCAACAACUAGCUACUCCCUCCGUCCCGGUCAAUAGCAUACAUUGGGGGACGGGGGCGCGGCACGGACUUUAAUGCUUCAAUAUAAUAUAGUUCUGUAAAUUAUUUUUAAGAUUUUCUUUUUUUGUAUAAAAGUAUAACAUUUAUACUUUUAUACAAAAAAAGAAAAUUUCAAAAAUAAGUUGUAGAACUAUGUUUUAUAAGAGCCUUAAAAAACGUGUCGAGCAGUGAAAAAGAAACGUAUACAAUUAACUGGGACAGAGGGAGUAUAAACUUUGUGCUUAUCUGACACCCAAUUAUUUUCGGUUUUGAAUAAUAGGCCGCAUGCUGUGAAUGAGUUAUCUUUUUUGGGUGAUUUCCAUUUAUGUUAACUGCCACGUUUUUUUUGGGUGAUUUCUACGUAUGUUAACUUUCAUGUUUUUGUUGUGUGACUUCCAUGCCGGAUUUGCAUUGUUAUCGAGAAUAUUAUACUCCCUCCAUUUCGAAAUGUAAGACGCUUUGACUUUUUGCACGUAGUUUAAAAUUCUUUGACCAUGUAUUUAUAUUUAUUAUUUUUAAAAUUUUAUUUUUUAAAACAAAAGUAUAUAGUCAAAAUUUUAAAGUAUAUUUUUUUUUUAAAAAUGAUGAUUCUAGAUGCUUGGUCAAACCACUUUGAAAUGUGUGUAAAAAGUCAAAGCUCUUGAAACGGAAGGAGUAAUGUAUAGGAGGAUGAGCUAUAAAACACAUUUUAAAAUUCUAAUAAAACAUAUUCCCUCCGACCUCCGUCCCCUUACAUGUCUAUAUUGAUUUUUGACCAGCCAAAUUGACUAUAUUUUGACUGAACUUUACAUAUAACAGAUAAUUGAAAAUAAUAAUAAAAUUAUAUCAUUAAAAAGUACAUCUAGUCUAUUUUAAUAUGCAACUUUUAGAUUUUAGAAAUAAUGAGCAGAUAAUUUCUACUGUUUAGUCAAAAAUUGGUUAAUUUAACUUCUCGAAAAGCAAAAUGGACAUGUAAAAGGGGACGGGGAGUACAUGAUUGGACACUCUAAGUGGUGAGUUUAUACUACAUUAUCUCGGAUACCGGGUUCGACCCGACAUAUAAGCCUAAAUUAUUAAAAAUAAAAUUCAAUUAAUAAAUUAUUUUAAUUUUUUAUUUUGGAUAAAAGCUCAAUAUCUAAAUUUUUAGAAAUAACGAGAAAUUUUUUAAAAAUUUGUGUACCUAUAUUUUAUAUAAAUCUUAAAAUAUCUAUUGAACAGUUAAAAAAAUGUAAAAGGAUUAUUGAGAACGAAUACAAUAUCCCCCCGUCCCGCCAAGAAGCUUACGUACACUGUUUGCACGCAUUUUGAGACUCUCGUAAAAUAUAGUUCUAUAAUGUAUUUUUGAUUUUUUUUUUUGAAUAAAAGUUUAAAUUUCAAACUUUUUUUAGUAAUUUUAAAAAAUAUAUAUAUAUAAUAUAAGUAUAUUUUAUAGGAGUCUUAAAAUGCGUAUAUUAAAAAAUAAGAACCUGGUGGGACAGAGAGAAUAUACAAGUAGUAUUCAACUAGAGAGAGAUAGAGAGAAAGUAAGAUAUCUAAACUUUCUUCUUCUCAUUCUUUCUGGCGUCAAAAGUAAUACUUAUUUUAAGUUAACGGGAUAAAUAUCAAAUCGGUUUUUCUAUGGUGUGCCCAUGGGCACAUACUAGACAAACCGAUAUCAAAUAGUAGCUAAACGCGGAAAAUUUUGUGCUUAGAUCAUUUUGAUUGGCUCCUCUCUCUUGAUAAUGGUGGACCCCCCUGCAAAUACACCAACCACACCAAUCAAAAUCUCCCAAAUACAAAAAUUUCCGCGCUUAGCAUGUGCCCAUGGGCACAUACUAGACAAACCGAUAUCAAAUAGUCACUCAUUUCGUCCAAAUGUAUCAAUUGAGUCAUUGAUUCUCAAAAUGACUCAAAUGAGACACUUAUUAGAAAAAUUUGUAUUAAAAAUAUCACUCUAUCUUUAGUCAGAAUUUUGAAAGUAUUAUCUAUUGAGUUUCGCACAUUUUUUAUGAAUGGUAUUACAUCCAAAUGAAAGAUCCCGAGUUGUACUAUUUUCGCUAAUAUUUUUAGAUUUUUAAAAAUUUAUCUCCUAUUUAUUUUUAUUUAAAUCAAAUAAAACAAUCAAAAAUUAAAAAUAAAUAGUUGAUAAAUUUUUUAAAAUCUGAAAAUAUUAGCAAAAAUAGUAGAACUCGGAAUCUUUCAUUUGGAUGUAAUACCGUUCAUAUAAAAUGUGCGAAACUCAAUAUAUAAUACUUUCAAAAUUUCUACUAACGUUAGAGUGAUAUUUUUGAUACAAAUUUUUCCAAUGAGUGUCUCAUUUGAGUCAAUUUGAGAAUCAGUUACUUAAUUGAUAUAUUUGGACGAAACGAGUGACCUUGAUAUUUAUCCCUUAAAUUAACUUAAACUGAAUAGGAGCAAGCAAAUCAAGCAUCUCAACCAAACCUCUUGUAGUCUGAAGCAAAACAAAUCAACAUGAAACAAAAUGAUAAAAGUAAUUAAAAUCGAAGACAAAUUGAAGCCUAAAUCGACUGAAUUCUAGUUAACAAAAAAUCCACGAAAGAAACCUGGUUUCGAUUGAAUCCCAAAAUGAUAGAAGAAUCUCCCACUUUCAAGAGCAACUCAAAUGAACAGAAAUUGAAUCGAAGUUUUAAGCCGAAAGCGAGCAGAGAGAACAUGAACAGACAAAAGAGAGCUUCAAUUCCCUUUUCUUUUAUAAAGAAAGAGGGAGUGAGGAGAGCAAAGCCAGAGCAUCUCUGAGCUGCCCAUGGCUAAUUAUAAUAUUUGCAUGUUUGGCUGAGUUUAAAAUAAGUGUUUGAAAAUAAAAAAAUAUGCUUUAAAGUAAAAAAGUGAAUAAUAAAUUAGAAGCAAAUUAAACCUUACAAGGGGUCGUUUGGUUGGGGAUUUUCUGGUAUCAGGUAUGAGUUUUUUUCAUUCCAAACUCAUAUCUGGUGUUUGGUUGAAAAUUUUCUUUUAUCAACCCCAUUCCUCAAACCCACAACGUAAGAGAUUUUCAUACCCAAGGGGAAGUGGGUAUGAAACAUGGAUUUCUGGAAUCAAAUUCCUUUUCUUUUAUUUCAUUACUAUUUAUAUCAUUUCAUAUAAAUUAUUAAUACAAAAUGAAAUUAAUGACUCAAAAAUGUAUAUAAAUAUUAAUUUAAUGAUAUUUUAAAUUAAUUACAACUAAUAACUAAUAAAUAUUAUAAUUCAAUCAUAUUUAUUCCACCACUCAACCAAACACCUGAUAUCAGAAAUGAUACCUCAAACCCAUACCAUCUUAACCCGAUUCCUCAUUCCAACCCCAUACCCCUCUCCAACCAAACGACCUCUAAACGAUUAAAGUGUUUGGAAAUCAGAAAAGAAGUAAAACGAAUAAAGGAAAAAUUAGCAUUCUCAAUUUUUUAUAAAUAUUUCGACGAAUAAGUGUUUGUAACUUAUAAACAGAGGCCAAACAUCCCUUAUAUAUUAUACCUAAGAGAUAUAAUAUUGAAAUAAAUAUAAAAAUGUUAUAAUAUAUCAUUAAAUAUCUUUAUUUAUAUGUUAUUUUGUUUUCUCUAAUAUAAAACAAAAUUAGCAAAUUUUGUUUAAUUUUAUAUUUAAAUAAAUAAAAAUUUAAAUAUGCAUGAUGAUUAUAGUUAUCACCAUUGCAUCAUUAAUAUUCAACAAAAUUAUAAGUCUUUAGCUAACAAUUCUAAGUGUCUCUCUUGUAUAUGCUCUUAGAGUGGAAAAAUUGACCCGUUUUAUCUAAAUAUACUUGCAUGCUUGUUCAAAUAAUUUAAAUACCCGCCUUCUAGUUUUUGGAUCCCGCAUCUCUUGUUUAACAAAUUGUUUAUUACAAAUUUCAUAAAAUAUUAUUUAUUAUUUAUGAAAAUAUUAAUUAUUUGUUUAUAUAUACAAUAUCAUCCAAUUUAUUUAUUUAUUUAUUUAUUUUUCAUUUAAAAUAAAAAUAUUUAUAAUUACAUUAUAUUUUUAUAAAAAAUAUUUUCUCUUUUACAUUUAUUAAAAUUAUUUAUUUUUAAUUUUGAAAUUUUCAAAACAAAGAAAUACUUGCAGUCAUACACAUGAUUCAUUAUACUCGUAAAAUGUUUUUAAAAUAUAAUAUAUUAUUAUAUUUCAACAUAAAAAAUUAAAUUUAAAGAUUUAUAUUUUUUCAGAGUAUCGGUAAUUUUUAUAUAUUUUUUAAAAUGAUUAAGUCUAUUAUUAUGCUUUGGGGUGCUGUCUAAUGCAAUACUUUAAAUCUUGCAAACAUGUGUAAUGCGACAGCGCACUCGGUCUAAUUAUAACGUUUGGCAGCCGACCCUCGAUCAAGACCUGAUAUUUUAAUUGCACGAGAUCCACGCAGUGUCCCCAUGCGUUACCGUAUGUUUUCCUGUAUAAAUGAAGAGCAAAACUCUUGACACUGACGAGACAAAACACGCGCACACAAUGAUUUUCUCAAAUCUCUUAAUAGCCUUUCUUAUCAUUGCCAUGCCACUGUUAAUUAUUCUUAUCACAAACAAAAAACAUCAACAUAACAGACUGCCUCCGGGGCCUAAGAAGCUGCCACUCAUUGGCAAUCUUCAUCAGCUUGGUGGACUUGCUCCUCAUCGAUCACUUCGACUUCUUUCAAGAGAACAUGGCCCCCUCAUGUUUCUACAGCUCGGCUCUGUUCCAACUCUUGUGGUCUCAUCAGCCGCGAUGGCCAGAGAAAUUUUCAAGACCCAUGACUCGGUUUUUUCUGGCCGGCCUGCCCUCUAUGCCGCGAAAAAGAUGGGUUACAAGUGCUCAACUAUUUCUUUUGCUCCCUAUGGAGACUACUGGAGGCAAGUACGAAAGAUUGCACUUGUAGAGCUAUUAAGUGCAAAGAGAGUUCAGUCUUUUAAAGCUCUUCGAGAACAAGAAGUGGCCAGUAUGAUUAAAUCAGUCGCGGAUUCUUCACCUAAUCCUAUUAAUUUGAGCGAGCUGACGCUUUUGCAAGCGACUAAUUUUGUGCUCAGGGUGGUAUUUCGUAUGAAGGGAAGUGAUUAUGGUGAAAACAACGCUAAGAGUGAGUUUGAUGAAAUAUUUCAUGAAACGCAACAUUUAUUAGGCAUGGUGAAUAUUGCAGAUUAUUUUCCCUGGAUGGGUUGGUUUAACAAGUUUAACGGUGUUGAUGCAAGAUUGGACAAGAAUUUAAGAGAUUUGGACAGGUUUUAUGACAGGG
Molecule: long non-coding RNA, 8151 nt
Filed under: Daucus carota (carrot)
Lineage: Eukaryota; Viridiplantae; Streptophyta; Magnoliopsida; Apiales; Apiaceae
Description: long non-coding RNA (DCAR_LNC001467)
Source: RNAcentral